This 706-nucleotide ribosomal RNA is filed under the name uncultured bacterium. RNAcentral describes it as "bacterial SSU rRNA". It matches the Rfam family "Bacterial small subunit ribosomal RNA", at positions 690 to 1396 of the family's 1533-position model. The record is from RNAcentral.
GUAGAUAUAUGGAGGAACACCAGUGGCGAAGGCGGCUCUCUGGUCUGUAACUGACGCUGAGGCUCGAAAGCGUGGGGAGCGAACAGGAUUAGAUACCCUGGUAGUCCAUGCCGUAAACGAUGAGUGCUAAGUGUUGGAGGGUUUCCGCCCUUCAGUGCUGCAGCAAACGCAUUAAGCACUCCGCCUGGGGAGUACGACCGCAAGGUUGAAACUCAAAGGAAUUGACGGGGGCCCGCACAAGCGGUGGAGCAUGUGGUUUAAUUCGAAGCAACGCGAAGAACCUUACCAGGUCUUGACAUCCUUUGACCACUCUAGAGAUAGAGCUUCCCCUUCGGGGGCAAAGUGACAGGUGGUGCAUGGUUGUCGUCAGCUCGUGUCGUGAGAUGUUGGGUUAAGUCCCGCAACGAGCGCAACCCUUAUUGUUAGUUGCCAUCAUUUAGUUGGGCACUCUAGCGAGACUGCCGGUGACAAACCGGAGGAAGGUGGGGAUGACGUCAAAUCAUCAUGCCCCUUAUGACCUGGGCUACACACGUGCUACAAUGGGAAGUACAACGAGUUGCGAAGUCGCGAGGCUAAGCUAAUCUCUUAAAGCUUCUCUCAGUUCGGAUUGUAGGCUGCAACUCGCCUACAUGAAGCCGGAAUCGCUAGUAAUCGCGGAUCAGCACGCCGCGGUGAAUACGUUCCCGGGCCUUGCACACACCGCCCG